RNAcentral lists this ribosomal RNA (239 nucleotides) under uncultured bacterium. RNAcentral describes it as "partial 16S ribosomal RNA". It matches the Rfam family "Bacterial small subunit ribosomal RNA", at positions 15 to 245 of the family's 1533-position model. The record is from RNAcentral.
GAUCCUGGCUCAGGAUGAACGCUAGCUACAGGCUUAACACAUGCAAGUCGAGGGGCGGCGGGAUUGAAGCUUGCUUCAAUUGCCGGCGACCGGCGCACGGGUGAGUAACGCGUAUCCAACCUUCCGCAUACUCGGGGAUAGCCUUCUGAAAAGGAGAUUAAUACCCGAUGGUAUCAAGAGAUUGCAUGAUAACUUGAUUAAAGAAUUUCGGUAUGCGAUGGGGAGUGCGUUCCAUUAGG